AGUGAACGCUGGCGGCAGGCCUAAUACAUGCAAGCCGAACGGCAGCACAGCAGAGCUUGCUCUGUGGGUGGCGAGUGGCGGACGGGUGAGGAAUACAUGGGAAUCUGCCCAGUCGUGGGGAUAACGUAGGGAAACUUACGCUAAUACCGCAUGCGCCCUUCGGGGAAAGCCGGGGACCUUCGGGCCUGGCGCGAUUGGAUGAGCCCAUGUCGGAUUAGCUAGUUGGCGGGGUAAUGGCCCACCAAGGCGACGAUCCGUAGCUGGUCUGAGAGGAUGAUCAGCCACACUGGAACUGAGACACGGUCCAGACUCCUACGGGAGGCAGCAGUAGGGAAUAUUGGACAAUGGGCGCAAAGCCUGAUCCAGCCAUGCCGCGUGAGUGAAGAAGGCCCUCGGGUUGUAAAGCUCUUUGUCCGGAAAGAAAAGACGCCGGGUUAAUACCCUGGUGUCCUGACGGUACCGGAAGAAUAAGCACCGGCUAACUUCGUGCCAGCAGCCGCGGUAAU
RNAcentral lists this ribosomal RNA (506 nucleotides) under uncultured bacterium. RNAcentral describes it as "bacterial SSU rRNA". It matches the Rfam family "Bacterial small subunit ribosomal RNA", at positions 29 to 524 of the family's 1533-position model. The record is from RNAcentral.